RNAcentral lists this ribosomal RNA (582 nucleotides) under uncultured bacterium. RNAcentral's name for it is "bacterial SSU rRNA". It matches the Rfam family "Bacterial small subunit ribosomal RNA", at positions 8 to 571 of the family's 1533-position model. The record is from RNAcentral.
AGAGUUUGAUCCUGGCUCAGGAUGAACGCUGGCGGCAUGCCUAAUACAUGCAAGUCGAACGAAGACUGUUGAAAGCUUGCUUUUGACAGACUUAGUGGCGAACGGGUGAGUAACACGUAGGGAACCUGCCCAUGUACCCGGGAUAACAGAUGGAAACGUCUGCUAAAACCGGAUAGGUAUAGACAAGGCAUCUUGGCUAUAUUAAAGGACCUUCGGGUGCGGACAUGGAUGGACCUGCGGCGUAUUAGCCAGUUGGCGGGGUAACGGCCCACCAAAGCGAUGAUACGUAGCCGGCCUGAGAGGGUAGACGGCCACAUUGGGACUGAGACACGGCCCAAACUCCUACGGGAGGCAGCAGUAGGGAAUUUUCGUCAAUGGGGGAAACCCUGAACGAGCAAUGCCGCGUGAGUGAAGAAGGCCUUCGGGUCGUAAAGCUCUGUUGUAAGAGAAAAACGGUAAUGAUAGGAAAUGAUCAUUAAGUGAUGGUAUCUUACGAGGAAGCCACGGCUAACUACGUGCCAGCAGCCGCGGUAAUACGUAGGUGGCAAGCGUUAUCCGGAAUGAUUGGGCGUAAAGGGUGCG